CGAAUGCUGACAUAAGUAACGAUAAAGCGGGUGAAAAGCCCGCUCGCCGGAAGACCAAGGGUUCCUGUCCAACGUUAAUCGGGGCAGGGUGAGUCGACCCCUAAGGCGAGGCCGAAAGGCGUAGUCGAUGGGAAACAGGUUAAUAUUCCUGUACUUGGUGUUACUGCGAAGGGGGGACGGAGAAGGCUAUGUUGGCCGGGCGACGGUUGUCCCGGUUUAAGCGUGUAGGCUGGUUUUCCAGGCAAAUCCGGAAAAUCAAGGCUGAGGCGUGAUGACGAGGCACUACGGUGCUGAAGCAACAAAUGCCCUGCUUCCAGGAAAAGCCUCUAAGCAUCAGGUAACAUCAAAUCGUACCCCAAACCGACACAGGUGGUCAGGUAGAGAAUACCAAGGCGCUUGAGAGAACUCGGGUGAAGGAACUAGGCAAAAUGGUGCCGUAACUUCGGGAGAAGGCACGCUGAUAUGUAGGUGAAGUCCCUCGCGGAUGGAGCUGAAAUCAGUCGAAGAUACCAGCUGGCUGCAACUGUUUAUUAAAAACACAGCACUGUGCAAACACGAAAGUGGACGUAUACGGUGUGACGCCUGCCCGGUGCCGGAAGGUUAAUUGAUGGGGUCAGCGCAAGCGAAGCUCUUGAUCGAAGCCCCGGUAAACGGCGGCCGUAACUAUAACGGUCCUAAGGUAGCGAAAUUCCUUGUCGGGUAAGUUCCGACCUGCACGAAUGGCGUAAUGAUGGCCAGGCUGUCUCCACCCGAGACUCAGUGAAAUUGAACUCGCUGUGAAGAUGCAGUGUACCCGCGGCAAGACGGAAAGACCCCGUGAACCUUUACUAUAGCUUGACACUGAACAUUGAGCCUUGAUGUGUAGGAUAGGUGGGAGGCUUUGAAGUGUGGACGCCAGUCUGCAUGGAGCCGACCUUGAAAUACCACCCUUUAAUGUUUGAUGUUCUAACGUGGACCCGUGAUCCGGGUUGCGGACAGUGUCUGGUGGGUAGUUUGACUGGGGCGGUCUCCUCCUAAAGAGUAACGGAGGAGCACGAAGGUUGGCUAAUCCUGGUCGGACAUCAGGAGGUUAGUGCAAUGGCAUAAGCCAGCUUGACUGCGAGCGUGACGGCGCGAGCAGGUGCGAAAGCAGGUCAUAGUGAUCCGGUGGUUCUGAAUGGAAGGGCCAUCGCUCAACGGAUAAAAGGUACUCCGGGGAUAACAGGCUGAUACCGCCCAAGAGUUCAUAUCGACGGCGGUGUUUGGCACCUCGAUGUCGGCUCAUCACAUCCUGGGGCUGAAGUAGGUCCCAAGGGUAUGGCUGUUCGCCAUUUAAAGUGGUACGCGAGCUGGGUUUAGAACGUCGUGAG
This 1349-nucleotide ribosomal RNA is filed under the name Escherichia coli. RNAcentral describes it as "partial 23S ribosomal RNA". It matches the Rfam family "Bacterial large subunit ribosomal RNA", at positions 1291 to 2625 of the family's 2925-position model. RNAcentral also lists the same sequence under 1 other name. The record is from RNAcentral. Lineage: Bacteria; Pseudomonadati; Pseudomonadota; Gammaproteobacteria; Enterobacterales; Enterobacteriaceae.